This is a non-coding RNA of Zalophus californianus (California sea lion), 73 nucleotides long. The record is from the annotation of a RefSeq genome assembly. Lineage: Eukaryota; Metazoa; Chordata; Mammalia; Carnivora; Otariidae.
GCCUGGCUGGCUCAGUGGGUAGAGCGUGUGACUCUUGGUCUCAGGGUUGUGGGUUCAAGCCCCACACUGGGCA